GAUGAACGCUGGCGGCGUGCCUAAUACAUGCAAGUCGAGCGAACAGACGAGGAGCUUGCUCCUCUGACGUUAGCAGCGGACGGGUGAGUAACACGUGGAUAACCUACCUAUAAGACUGGGAUAACUUCGGGAAACCGGAGCUAAUACCGGAUAAUAUAUUGAACCGCAUGGUUCAAUAGUGAAAGACGGUUUUGCUGUCACUUAUAGAUGGAUCCGCGCCGCAUUAGCUAGUUGGUAAGGUAACGGCUUACCAAGGCAACGAUGCGUAGCCGACCUGAGAGGGUGAUCGGCCACACUGGAACUGAGACACGGUCCAGACUCCUACGGGAGGCAGCAGUAGGGAAUCUUCCGCAAUGGGCGAAAGCCUGACGGAGCAACGCCGCGUGAGCGAUGAAGGUCUUCGGAUCGUAAAACUCUGUUAUUAGGGAAGAACAAAUGUGUAAGUAACUAUGCACGUCUUGACGGUACCUAAUCAGAAAGCCACGGCUAACUACGUG
RNAcentral lists this ribosomal RNA (497 nucleotides) under uncultured bacterium. Its description in RNAcentral is "partial 16S ribosomal RNA". It matches the Rfam family "Bacterial small subunit ribosomal RNA", at positions 28 to 507 of the family's 1533-position model. The record is from RNAcentral.